This 253-nucleotide ribosomal RNA is filed under the name uncultured bacterium. Its description in RNAcentral is "partial 16S ribosomal RNA". It matches the Rfam family "Bacterial small subunit ribosomal RNA", at positions 524 to 776 of the family's 1533-position model. The record is from RNAcentral.
GACGAACCGAGCGAACGUUGUUCGGAAUCACUGGGCUUAAAGGGUGCGUAGGCGGGCGGCUAAGUCUGUGGUGAAAUCCUGCAGCUCAACUGGAGAACUGCCAUGGAUACUGGUUGUCUCGAGGAACGUAGGGGUAUGCGGAACUAUCGGUGGAGCGGUGAAAUGCGUUGAUAUCGAUAGGAACUCCGGUGGCGAAGGCGGCAUACUGGACGUUUUCUGACGCUGAGGCGCGAAAGCCAGGGGAGCAAACGGG